This 1551-nucleotide ribosomal RNA is filed under the name uncultured Erwinia sp. RNAcentral describes it as "bacterial SSU rRNA". It matches the Rfam family "Bacterial small subunit ribosomal RNA". Lineage: Bacteria; Pseudomonadati; Pseudomonadota; Gammaproteobacteria; Enterobacterales; Erwiniaceae. The record is from RNAcentral.
AGUUUGAUCAUGGCUCAGAUUGAACGCUGGCGGCAGGCCUAACACAUGCAAGUCGAGCGGUAGCACAGAAGAGCUUGCUCUUUGGGUGACGAGCGGCGGACGGGUGAGUAAUGUCUGGGAAACUGCCUGAUGGAGGGGGAUAACUACUGGAAACGGUAGCUAAUACCGCAUAACCUCGCAAGAGCAAAGAGGGGGACCUUCGGGCCUCUCGCCAUCAGAUGUGCCCAGAUGGGAUUAGCUAGUAGGUGAGGUAAUGGCUCACCUAGGCGACGAUCCCUAGCUGGUCUGAGAGGAUGACCAGCCACACUGGAACUGAGACACGGUCCAGACUCCUACGGGAGGCAGCAGUGGGGAAUAUUGCACAAUGGGCGCAAGCCUGAUGCAGCCAUGCCGCGUGUGUGAAGAAGGCCUUCGGGUUGUAAAGCACUUUCAGCGAGGAGGAAGGCGGUAAGGUUAAUAACCUUAUCGAUUGACGUUACUCGCAGAAGAAGCACCGGCUAACUCCGUGCCAGCAGCCGCGGUAAUACGGAGGGUGCAAGCGUUAAUCGGAAUGACUGGGCGUAAAGCGCACGCAGGCGGUCUGUUAAGUUGGAUGUGAAAUCCCCGGGCUUAACCUGGGAACUGCAUUCAAAACUGACAGGCUAGAGUCUUGUAGAGGGGGGUAGAAUUCCAGGUGUAGCGGUGAAAUGCGUAGAGAUCUGGAGGAAUACCGGUGGCGAAGGCGGCCCCCUGGACAAAGACUGACGCUCAGGUGCGAAAGCGUGGGGAGCAAACAGGAUUAGAUACCCUGGUAGUCCACGCUGUAAACGAUGUCGAUUUGGAGGUUGUGCCCUUGAGGCGUGGCUUCCGGAGCUAACGCGUUAAAUCGACCGCCUGGGGAGUACGGCCGCAAGGUUAAAACUCAAAUGAAUUGACGGGGGCCCGCACAAGCGGUGGAGCAUGUGGUUUAAUUCGAUGCAACGCGAAGAACCUUACCUACUCUUGACAUCCAGAGAAUUAGCUAGAGAUAGCUGAGUGCCUUCGGGAACUCUGAGACAGGUGCUGCAUGGCUGUCGUCAGCUCGUGUUGUGAAAUGUUGGGUUAAGUCCCGCAACGAGCGCAACCCUUAUCCUUUGUUGCCAGCGAUUCGGUCGGGAACUCAAAGGAGACUGCCGGUGAUAAACCGGAGGAAGGUGGGGAUGACGUCAAGUCAUCAUGGCCCUUACGAGUAGGGCUACACACGUGCUACAAUGGCGUAUACAAAGAGAAGCGACCUCGCGAGAGCAAGCGGACCUCAUAAAGUACGUCGUAGUCCGGAUUGGAGUCUGCAACUCGACUCCAUGAAGUCGGAAUCGCUAGUAAUCGUAGAUCAGAAUGCUACGGUGAAUACGUUCCCGGGCCUUGUACACACCGCCCGUCACACCAUGGGAGUGGGUUGCAAAAGAAGUAGGUAGCUUAACCUUCGGGAGGGCGCUUACCACUUUGUGAUUCAUGACUGGGGUGAAGUCGUAACAAGGUAACCGUAGGGGAACCUGCGGUUGGAUCACCUCCUUACCAAGAAGAUGUGUGUUA